Molecule: ribosomal RNA, 253 nt
Filed under: uncultured bacterium
Lineage: Bacteria
Description: partial 16S ribosomal RNA
Rfam family: Bacterial small subunit ribosomal RNA
Source: RNAcentral
UACGUAGGAUGCAAGCGUUGUCCGGAUUUACUGGGUGUAAAGGGUGCGCAGGCGGAGAAGUAAGUCAGAGGUGAAAGCCUACAGCUCAACUGUAGAACUGCCUUUGAUACUGCUUCCCUUGAGUAUGGUAGAGGUCGGCGGAAUUCCCGGUGUAGCAGUGAAAUGCGUAGAUAUCGGGAGGAACACCAGUGGCGAAGGCGGCCGGCUGGACCAUAACUGACGCUCAUGCACGAAAGUGUGGGGAUCAAACAGG